RNAcentral lists this ribosomal RNA (465 nucleotides) under uncultured bacterium. Its description in RNAcentral is "bacterial SSU rRNA". It matches the Rfam family "Bacterial small subunit ribosomal RNA", at positions 329 to 792 of the family's 1533-position model. The record is from RNAcentral.
CGCCAGACUCCUACGGGAGGCAGCAGUGAGGAAUAUUGGUCAAUGGCCGAGAGGCUGAACCAGCCAAGUCGCGUGAGGGAUGACGGCCCUACGGGUUGUAAACCUCUUUUGUCGGGGAGCAAAGCGAACCACGUGUGGUUCAUUGAGAGUACCCGAAGAAAAAGCAUCGGCUAACUCCGUGCCAGCAGCCGCGGUAAUACGGAGGAUGCGAGCGUUAUCCGGAUUUAUUGGGUUUAAAGGGUGCGCAGGCGGAGGUGCAAGUCAGCGGUCAAAUUGCGGGGCUCAACCCCGUACUGCCGUUGAAACUGCAUCCCUUGAGUGCGCGAGAAGUAUGCGGAAUGCGUGGUGUAGCGGUGAAAUGCGUAGAUAUUAGGAGGAACACCAGUGGCGAAGGCGGUCUGCUGGACAGCAACUGACGCUGAGGCGCGAAAGCGUGGGGAGCAAACAGGAUUAGAUACCCCAGUA